UUCGUAGGCGUUAACACUAUUUGAAUUCCAAGAAGUGAAAUAAAGUGUGUCUACAGCUCCUUAGAAGAAACUGCCUUAGAGGUUGAAAGGAUCGUUACCUCCUUUCAACGGGAGAUCCUGAAAUGGAAGGUGAGGAAACUGACAACUCAAAGAAGAUACUAACUUUCCCACCCACCGCCACUCCUCCUAGCUGGCAGGUGGCGGAGCUGGGCUGCUCUCGAGAGGCCAGGGCCGUAUCAGUUUCAAAGAUCGCUGUCAGGGUGCGAGCAACUGAAGUUGAAAUGGCCGGAAAGCGGAAACUUUUCUUCAGAGUUGUACAGUUGGUGGAAUAUUCAUAGAAGUGUAAUGUGACACAGGAUGCCGAGUCGGUGUCGAAACUUUGUUCCAAACCCUAUUUGCUAUUUGUAAAACUGGUCCCUCAGGGGCCAGCUACGGAUAAGGUAAGGGGUGGGGGUGGGGGCUGGCUGCCGAGUGACUGAGACAGGGCUGCAGGAGGGGCUUCUGGCCACAGGAAUUAGGGUUCUCGGGAGCCGGGAGAGAUCUGGGGUCCAGCCUUUCCCACCCUGGGAGGACCACCUCUGCCUCAGGUAGGGACACCUUUCCUUCAUGUUGCCACGUAAGUUUUGUGCCUGAGUUUGAAACGUGAACUUUGGAGGAAUUGAUACAGUAUCAUUGUGCAGUUUUGCUCGUGGGGAAGUGACACCAUUCGCUUUUUCCUUGAAGGUCUCCUGGUCAGGAUGUUGAUUAAAAAAUAUCUGGCGCCAUGGACCCUGAUCAGUGUCAUCUCCCGAUGCUGAAAGUGUAUUUUAAAACGAACC
Non-coding RNA from Delphinapterus leucas (beluga whale), 818 nucleotides. The record is from RefSeq and is a predicted model, not a curated record. Lineage: Eukaryota; Metazoa; Chordata; Mammalia; Artiodactyla; Monodontidae.